UACGGGGGGGGCAAGCGUUGUUCGGAAUUACUGGGCGUAAAGCGUGCGCAGGCGGUAAGUUAAGUCUGAUGUGAAAGCCCCGGGCUCAACCUGGGAAUGGCAUUGGAAACUGGCUUGCUGGAGUGUGGCAGAGGGGGGUGGAAUUCCGCGUGUAGCAGUGAAAUGCGUAGAGAUGCGGAGGAACACCGAUGGCGAAGGCAGCCCCCUGGGCCAACACUGACGCUCAGGCACGAAAGCGUGGGGAGCAAACAGG
RNAcentral lists this ribosomal RNA (253 nucleotides) under uncultured bacterium. RNAcentral describes it as "partial 16S ribosomal RNA". It matches the Rfam family "Bacterial small subunit ribosomal RNA", at positions 524 to 776 of the family's 1533-position model. The record is from RNAcentral.